UUUGGAAUUUUUACCUUUCAUUGCAGCAAAUGUCAUUUUCAUCCAUUUUACCAAUAAAAAGAUAAUUUUACCUUCCUAUUCAAAUAAAACAAAAAGAAAUGAAACGAAAGGUUAAAAAAUUAAUUGCAACAAUGGUCUCAAAUUUUUUAAAAAUUACAAAUUAACAUAUCAUCACCCAAAUCACCCACCCCACCCACUACUAUCAGCACUAUUCAAAUCAUUAUUGUCACCUCAAAUUCACGAUGCACCACCGUCACCUUCUUUUCAAAUUCACAACAACCACCACCUCAUCUGCCUCAAACCAUCACCACCACCUUCACUUCAAAUCCACCAUUAGCAUCCAUCUUCAUUCAUUUCAUAGUCCACAACCACCCAUCUUCCACAAUCAACCACCAUCAUCCCAUCUUCUGGAGCCAUCCAUCUUAAUCCCUUUCACAGCUCACCACCACCCGUCUUCCACAGUCAACUAUAACAAAUACUACCGACUUCUCUUUCAUUGGGCAGUUAUUUUCGACACCAAAGUUAAUCUUGAGUUCCGACGACGAACCUUCACUGAUGACAAGGCUACUGUAUCAAUUCACGAAGUGGUUGAACUUUGAACUUUGAUUUUCAUUUUUAGUCCACCACCAUGCACUAUGAGCUAAAUGCCCCAUAUGUUUUAGCGAGUUUGGUGGCAAAAUUCCUAUAGGCAUCAGAAGGAGAGUUCCAUCGGAAAAGGACCUUAGGAGGCAGUGAUAGUGACGAAUAGCAUGUGUCAAAUGAAGGUAGAAGACAGAUUGUAGAUUUGAAACAUUGGGGGAAAUUGAUUAAGUGAUAAGGGCGCGGGAGUAGAGGGUGGUCGGUUAGUUGGUUUCCGAUGACGAUGGUUGCAAUUGGUAGUAGGGGCGAGUGGGGGGAGAGAGAUAGAGAGUCACAGAUUUUUUUGAAUGAGAAGGAGUGGGG
Molecule: long non-coding RNA, 942 nt
Filed under: Olea europaea subsp. europaea
Lineage: Eukaryota; Viridiplantae; Streptophyta; Magnoliopsida; Lamiales; Oleaceae
Source: RNAcentral